This 1416-nucleotide ribosomal RNA is filed under the name Aeromonas dhakensis. RNAcentral's name for it is "partial 23S ribosomal RNA". It matches the Rfam family "Bacterial large subunit ribosomal RNA", at positions 187 to 1659 of the family's 2925-position model. The record is from RNAcentral. Lineage: Bacteria; Pseudomonadati; Pseudomonadota; Gammaproteobacteria; Aeromonadales; Aeromonadaceae.
GGAGAACUGAAACAUCUAAGUACCCCGAGGAAAAGAAAUCAACCGAGAUUCCCUCAGUAGCGGCGAGCGAACGGGGAUUAGCCCUUAAGCAUCUUGGAAGUUAGUGGAACGGUCCUGGAAAGGCCGGCGAUACAGGGUGAUAGCCCCGUACACGAAAACAACCUUGAUGUGAAAUCGAGUAGGGCGGGACACGUGACAUCCUGUCUGAAUAUGGGGGGACCAUCCUCCAAGGCUAAAUACUCCUGACUGACCGAUAGUGAACCAGUACCGUGAGGGAAAGGCGAAAAGAACCCCUGUGAGGGGAGUGAAAUAGAACCUGAAACCGUGUACGUACAAGCAGUGGGAGCCCUUCGGGGUGACUGCGUACCUUUUGUAUAAUGGGUCAGCGACUUACAUUUUGUAGCGAGGUUAACCGUAUAGGGGAGCCGUAGGGAAACCGAGUCUUAACUGGGCGUCUAGUUGCAAGGUGUAGACCCGAAACCGGGUGAUCUAGCCAUGGGCAGGUUGAAGGUUGAGUAACAUCAACUGGAGGACCGAACCCACUAACGUUGCAAAGUUAGGGGAUGACCUGUGGCUGGGGGUGAAAGGCCAAUCAAACUCGGAGAUAGCUGGUUCUCCCCGAAAGCUAUUUAGGUAGCGCCUCGGACGAAUACUACUGGGGGUAGAGCACUGUUUGGGCUAGGGGGUCAUCCCGACUUACCAACCCCAUGCAAACUCCGAAUACCAGUAAGUAAUAUCCGGGAGACACACGGCGGGUGCUAACGUCCGUCGUGAAGAGGGAAACAACCCAGACCGCCGGCUAAGGUCCCAAAGUUCUGGUUAAGUGGGAAACGAUGUGGGAAGGCUCAGACAGCUAGGAUGUUGGCUUAGAAGCAGCCAUCAUUUAAAGAAAGCGUAAUAGCUCACUAGUCGAGUCGGCCUGCGCGGAAGAUGUAACGGGGCUCAAACCAGGCACCGAAGCCGCGGAUUCACGCUAAGCGUGAGUGGUAGGGGAGCGUUCUGUAAGUCUGCGAAGGUGUGUCGAGAGGCAUGCUGGAGAUAUCAGAAGUGCGAAUGCUGACGUAAGUAACGAUAAAGGGGGUGAAAAGCCUCCUCGCCGGAAGACCAAGGGUUCCUGUCCAACGUUAAUCGGGGCAGGGUGAGUCGACCCCUAAGGUGAGGCCGAAAGGCGUAAUCGAUGGGAAGCAGGUUAAUAUUCCUGCACGACUUGUAAUUGCGAUGGGGGGACGGAGAAGGCUAGGUGGGCCAGGCGACGGUUGUCCUGGUGAAAGUGCGUAGGUGGUGUUUCUAGGCAAAUCCGGAGACACAACACUGAGACACGAGACGAACGCACUACGGUGCGGAAGCCAUUGAUGCCCUGCUUCCAGGAAAAGCCUCUAAGCUUCAGAUUACAAGUCAUCGUACCCCAAACCGACA